UCCCUUUUUAAGAAACAGUACUCAUCCAUAUUACUAUUCUUCAAGUUUUCCUGGUUGUACGUAUGUAUGUAGGUUGAUCUACUGAAAGGCAAAAAUCGCCUAUUCAUACCAUUUAGAAUGUGUUGUAGUGUUGAGUAUGGCUUAUUUCAUCUGACGUUUUAUGCUCCCUUUUUAAGAAACACACAUGCUUUUAAAAUUAUACUGACUUCAUGAGAGUGUUUAUCAAUGUCAGGUCCAUCAACUGGUACAGGUUUUGUGCUUUAAAUUUUAGUCAGUUGCAGAAAAUAUGACUGGAGGUGUAAGGCCUGAUUAUCGGUAAGAAACAGAACUGGGAUAGAAAGCUCCAGUCAUACUAUUAGAUCUUCAUCGUACUAUCAGUAUGCUGGAAGAAAUUUAUGAAGCUGAAGAAGGAAGAGUUGAUUGACUAUUUUGGGCUACAUAUUAAAAAACGAAAUGAAAGACUUUGUUACAUGCAAAAGACCUGUACAGUUGUAUAGCACCAGCUCUAUCUCAUGCAGCAGCAGCAGUAGCAGUUCAUUAUGCAGCUUAUUAUGGCAGUUUAUAUGACUUGUGAAAUGUUGACAAUUUAUUAAAAUUUGGUAUUAAUAAAAUGUCGUACAGAACAUG
Halichondria panicea is the source of this 627-nucleotide long non-coding RNA. RefSeq lists it as uncharacterized. The transcript is spliced from 2 exons. The record is from RefSeq and is a predicted model, not a curated record. Lineage: Eukaryota; Metazoa; Porifera; Demospongiae; Suberitida; Halichondriidae.